RNAcentral lists this small RNA (698 nucleotides) under Pan troglodytes (chimpanzee). Its description in RNAcentral is "retained intron". The record is from RNAcentral. Lineage: Eukaryota; Metazoa; Chordata; Mammalia; Primates; Hominidae.
UUUUGAAGAUGUAUGAUCCCAAAACGCGGAGCUUGAAUUACUGUGGGCAUAUCUACACACCAAUAUCCUGUAAAAUACGUGACUUGCUCCCAGUUAUGUGUGACAGAGCAGGAUUUAUUCAAGAUACUAGCCUUAUCCUCUAUGAGGAAGUUAAACCGAAUUUAACAGAGAGAAUUCAGGACUAUGACGUGUCUCUUGAUAAAGCCCUUGAUGAACUAAUGGAUGGUGACAUCAUAGUAUUUCAGAAGGAUGACCCUGAAAAUGAUAACAGUGAAUUACCCACCGCAAAGGAAUAUUUCCGAGAUCUCUACCACCGCGUUGAUGUCAUUUUCUGUGAUAAAACAAUCCCUAAUGAUCCUGGAUUUGUGGUUACGUUAUCAAAUAGAAUGAAUUAUUUUCAGGUAUUUAAUAAAUGCUCCUUUCCUCUUCAGAUCCCACUCCAGAAAGACAAAUUUCUUUCUUAAAAUGCUUGUUGAAGAAGCUAUCUCAUGGUUUUGGUUCAGAAGGGGCUGUGCCCGAGGAAAUCUCCCACUGAUGGAUUCAGGCUCUCUGCCAUGGGAGCUAGAAUAAUCGCCAUCAGAAAAGAACCUGUAGACCUCACCAUUAAAAGUGAAAACCCUUUUCAAAGUUAUCUUCAUCAGAUAUGCUACUCCCAUGGUGAUUCAUUAGGGAAUAAUAUAGUUUAUUCCUGUUUAAUA